AAAUUGAAGAGUUUGAUCAUGGCUCAGAUUGAACGCUGGCGGCAGGCCUAACACAUGCAAGUCGAACGGUAACACAGAGAGCUUGCUCUCGGGUGACGAGUGGCGGACGGGUGAGUAAUGUCUGGGAAACUGCCUGAUGGAGGGGGAUAACUACUGGAAACGGUAGCUAAUACCGCAUAACGUCGCAAGACCAAAGAGGGGGACCUUCGGGCCUCUUGCCAUC
Molecule: ribosomal RNA, 223 nt
Filed under: Enterobacter cloacae
Lineage: Bacteria; Pseudomonadati; Pseudomonadota; Gammaproteobacteria; Enterobacterales; Enterobacteriaceae
Description: partial 16S ribosomal RNA
Rfam family: Bacterial small subunit ribosomal RNA
Source: RNAcentral